UUGGAGCUUAGAAUAUUAGCUAAAGUAUGCAUGUUGGACUUGGAUUUGACUUAGGAGGAAACUAACGAUUCUACACCGUCAUUUGUUCAAACUACCAGAUUUAGCUCUAGAAACUGUAGUUUGUUUGUAUUGCCGCAGUUUGUGGGUAGUGAAUACCCAGAAUAGUGUAAAAUAUAUUUACGCUCAUGCUGAGAUGCCGAGUGUAUUUUUACAGCAGUGUUUAGACUGUUCCGGAUUGUCGGGUGCCGUUGAGGUUGACGGUGGACCCAGAUUGCUGUUUUUGAAUCAGAUUGUGCCGAGAGCACGUGAGUUUAGUUGUUAGACCCUGUUUA
This 332-nucleotide long non-coding RNA is filed under the name Ananas comosus (pineapple). RNAcentral describes it as "long non-coding RNA (ACOM_LNC040972)". Lineage: Eukaryota; Viridiplantae; Streptophyta; Magnoliopsida; Poales; Bromeliaceae. The record is from RNAcentral.